GAUGAACGCUGGCGGCGUGCCUAAUACAUGCAAGUCGAGCGAACAGACGAGGAGCUUGCUCCUCUGACGUUAGCGGCGGACGGGUGAGUAACACGUGGAUAACCUACCUAUAAGACUGGGAUAACUUCGGGAAACCGGAGCUAAUACCGGAUAAUAUAUUGAACCGCAUGGUUCAAUAGUGAAAGACGGUUUUGCUGUCACUUAUAGAUGGAUCCGCGCCGCAUUAGCUAGUUGGUAAGGUAACGGCUUACCAAGGCAACGAUGCGUAGCCGACCUGAGAGGGUGAUCGGCCACACUGGAACUGAGACACGGUCCAGACUCCUACGGGAGGCAGCAGUAGGGAAUCGUCCGCAAUGGGCGAAAGCCUGACGGAGCAACGCCGCGUGAGUUAUGAAGGUCUUCGGAUCGUAAAACUCUGUUAUUAGGGAAGAACAAAUGUGUAAGUAACUAUGCACGUCUUGACGGUACCUAAUCAGAAAGCCACGGCUAACUACGUG
This 497-nucleotide ribosomal RNA is filed under the name uncultured bacterium. Its description in RNAcentral is "partial 16S ribosomal RNA". It matches the Rfam family "Bacterial small subunit ribosomal RNA", at positions 28 to 507 of the family's 1533-position model. The record is from RNAcentral.